GUGAUUUUUUGUUGUUAUGUAUUUCUUCCUCUGUUGUUGAAAAUUGGUUCGAUUUAGCCUCCUUCAUCUCGAAACAUUUGAUUUGCUUUAGCCUUUUCUGUGAGUGAGAUUAUGUGGUGUUUUAUUGUUAUACAUGAAUUCCAAAUAUGUGUGAAUGAAGAUGGGUGAAGAGCUACAAUUGUAAAAUUCGUUCUGGGCAGUCGAAAAUGUGGCAAGAAGAUGAUCUUUUUGUUUCUUCAAAUUACACAUGUAAAACUUAGGUGUUGCUUUGAAUUGGUAAUUACUCGAAUGUUGGUUCGUGCAGACAGUGCUCAAAGAGCUUUACGAUCCAAGUAUAAUUGAGUGUAUUGAUGCAUUCCCUCACAGUGGAAACUCGGUAGGAUUAGUGUAGGUUAAUUAAGUUCCACUGCCUUAAUUGAAAUACUUGAUGCAUUCUUACAAACAGGGGCAGACAAUAUAAUGUUUUCACCCCAGUAUUUUUACACGAGCAUUGUAUGUUAG
RNAcentral lists this long non-coding RNA (501 nucleotides) under Olea europaea subsp. europaea. Lineage: Eukaryota; Viridiplantae; Streptophyta; Magnoliopsida; Lamiales; Oleaceae. The record is from RNAcentral.